UCCUCGACGUCACUCGGUUAUACUUUUUUCGUAAAUUCUGUAUUACGUAUUAUACACACAUAUAUCUAUACAUAACAUAUAGAUAAUAUAUACAUAUAUAUAUAUAUCUACACACAUAUAUUGCACAUCGUGUUUAUCAUACAAGUCAAACACAGGAUAUUUAAAUACGUUAACCCAAAUACAAAAGGUGUUUCUAUCUAUCUCUUUCUUACAUGGAUAACAGCAUUUCCUAUUCUCUCGUGUAAAAUUAUUCUCUUUCUUUUAUAUUUGUUCUCUUUGUAUCUAUCUGUCUCUUUAACUCUCUUUUUCUCCUUCUCUUUUUCUUUCUAUCUUACUCUCACACCGGGUGUCCUUACCAAACACGAUAGACAACUACACGAUUACGACACCACUUAGGUUUGUGUGUGUGUAUCGCGUGGCGCGCGUUUCCCACGCGUCAAACGCGUUUAAUGGCUUACGUCUGAUUCGUGUCGGAAAGAGGAUUACGUAAAAAAAAAAAAAAAUAAAAAAUAAAAGAAGAUUUCUAUAAGAAAAUACUAAAGUUCGGGUUCAAAUAGUGGAACCCCAUCAAUUCUUCGUUUAUCAUCGAGUGGAUUCGUAGAUUGCUUCAACUCGUUUUUUUUUUUUAUUAUUAUCAUCAUCUUAUCAAUACGCAUAAAAAGAAAAUAAAGUUUCCCUUCGAUAUCAGCAUAUACGAUACUGAUAAUUAGAAAGGAACAUCCUAGAAGAGGAAGAAGAAUAAUAUUUGUGAGUGUCCUUGUUAUUUUGGGGAUUUUAUAAUAAAUAGUGAGAGUGAUUUUAUUGGGGAAAAAAAAAGAAAAAAAAUUAUCCAAAGUUUCGUCGAUCAAAAAAUGUCGACGCCUUUAAAAGCCGAACCUACCGGCGGUUGUUAUGUCAUCGAAAAUUGGAGGCAAGAUCAUCGUCGAACCUGCUAAAAGGAAGAAGAGGAAGAAGAGGAAGAAGAAAUUUAAAUUACAACA
Polistes dominula (European paper wasp) is the source of this 980-nucleotide long non-coding RNA. NCBI's taxonomy places the organism in Eukaryota, Metazoa, Arthropoda, Insecta, Hymenoptera, Vespidae. The record is from RefSeq and is a predicted model, not a curated record.